RNAcentral lists this long non-coding RNA (289 nucleotides) under Mytilus galloprovincialis (Mediterranean mussel). Lineage: Eukaryota; Metazoa; Mollusca; Bivalvia; Mytilida; Mytilidae. The record is from RNAcentral.
AAAGACCCGAAAUUUGAAGAAAUGUCCAAAAAAGUGUUCCCUAAUCUGGAUGCACAAAAGUCUUUACUUUAAAUCUUCACAGUAAAUCCAAUCUUAUAUAAAAAAUUUCAUGAUUAAUAUAUAUAGAAGUUGGGUAUGAUUGUCAAUGAGACAACUCUCCACUAGAGACCAAACGACACAGAAAUUAACAACUAUAGGUCAUGUACAUCCUUCAACAAUGAGGGAAGUAUGUUCUAAAUUUGUUCACACAAUAUCAUCUGAAUAUGUGUUUUAUGAGAUAACUAAAGGG